Mustela erminea (ermine) is the source of this 104-nucleotide long non-coding RNA. RefSeq lists it as uncharacterized. The transcript is spliced from 3 exons. The record is from RefSeq and is a predicted model, not a curated record. NCBI's taxonomy places the organism in Eukaryota, Metazoa, Chordata, Mammalia, Carnivora, Mustelidae.
UGAGAAUCUGACAACUUAAAUAGCUGAAAACUUCCUAAUCUGGGGAAGGAAGAAGACAUCCAGAUCCAGGAAUCAGAGAGCCCCCAACAAGAUAAACCCAAGGA